RNAcentral lists this ribosomal RNA (769 nucleotides) under uncultured bacterium. RNAcentral's name for it is "bacterial SSU rRNA". It matches the Rfam family "Bacterial small subunit ribosomal RNA", at positions 81 to 862 of the family's 1533-position model. The record is from RNAcentral.
UGCUCCUCUGAUCAGUGGCGAACGGGUGAGUAACACGUGAGCAACCUGCCCCAGACUCUGGGAUAACAGUUGGAAACAGCUGCUAAUACCGGAUACGAGACGGAGAGGCAUCUCUACCGUCUGGAAAGUUUUUCGGUCUGGGAUGGACUCGCGGCCUAUCAGCUAGUUGGUGAGGUAAUGGCUCACCAAGGCGACGACGGGUAGCCGGCCUGAGAGGGCGACCGGCCACACUGGGACUGAGACACGGCCCAGACUCCUACGGGAGGCAGCAGUGGGGAAUAUUGCACAAUGGGCGAAAGCCUGAUGCAGCGACGCCGCGUGAGGGAUGAAGGCCUUCGGGUUGUAAACCUCUUUCAGCAGGGAAGAAGCGAAAGUGACGGUACCUGCAGAAGAAGCACCGGCUAACUACGUGCCAGCAGCCGCGGUAAUACGUAGGGUGCGAGCGUUGUCCGGAAUUAUUGGGCGUAAAGAGCUUGUAGGCGGUUUGUCGCGUCUGCAGUGAAAAUCCGGGGCUCAACCUCGGACUUGCUGUGGGUACGGGCAGACUAGAGUAUGGUAGGGGAGACCGGAAUUCCUGGUGUAGCGGUGGAAUGCGCAGAUAUCAGGAGGAACACCGAUGGCGAAGGCAGGUCUCUGGGCCAUAACUGACGCUGAGAAGCGAAAGCAUGGGGAGCGAACAGGAUUAGAUACCCUGGUAGUCCAUGCCGUAAACGUUGGGCGCUAGGUGUGGGGCUCAUUCCACGAGCUCCGUGCCGCAGCUAACGCAUUA